Callithrix jacchus (white-tufted-ear marmoset) is the source of this 104-nucleotide small nuclear RNA. The record is from Ensembl. Lineage: Eukaryota; Metazoa; Chordata; Mammalia; Primates; Cebidae.
GUGCUCAUUUCAGCAGCGCAUAUACUAAAAUUGGAACAAUACAGAAAUUAGCAUGGCCCCUGCGCAAGGAUGACAAGCAGAUUUGUGAAUCAUUCCAUAUUUAA